RNAcentral lists this long non-coding RNA (2229 nucleotides) under Ficedula albicollis (Collared flycatcher). RNAcentral describes it as "lncRNA (ENSFALG00000025492.1)". The record is from RNAcentral. Lineage: Eukaryota; Metazoa; Chordata; Aves; Passeriformes; Muscicapidae.
GAAGGAUGGGGGAGAAGGAGGGAGAGGGUGCUCUCUGCCUCGUGGAUGGGUGAGGAGAGGCCAAGGAGGAGCAGAGGGAGCCGACAGGGAGCCCACAGCUCUCGGUGGCAGCGUAGAGGUGGGCACUGGAAUGGCCUGGGGAUGCUCAGGGGAAGGCAGGACCUGUGUGGAAGGAGCCUGGAGGAGGGGGAAGGAAAGAAAACAAGGGAUUGCAAGGAGGAGGUGGCAGGCUCCACAGCAGAACCGGAGCCAGACUCGUUCUACAGCCGAGUGUCGUGUCUGGGGGGAUGCGCACAUGGGAGUGAGACACCCCAAAAUCCCUCUGGCAUCGCUCACCCAGCAGAUGCCGGCCAGAGGAGCCACGCAGCAGCUCCAAGGAGGAGCAGCACCCAAAAAUGUGCAAACCAUUCCCAAAACCCUCGCUCAUCUCCGCGUGACCCGGGAAAUCUGGGGUGCUGAUUGGCACCAGCACUUCCCUCCCCUCUCCAGGCAUGGGACACUCCUGAGCCCUGGAUGAUCACACUCACUCCUGGGAGCAACCAGGUUCCAAAGGGUGGGGAGCUGAGGUGAAAUGUAAAUGUGGAAUUUUAAGGCGAGCAACAAUUGAAUUUGGGCAAAACUGCUGAUUUCAGCCUUACAUCUUUUCAAUCCAUUUUAUGAAGAAGGAUCAAGAAAUCACUUUUAUUCACCCAUCAUUCAGGGCAGCCAAGACCUGGACUGCCUCCAUCCCUGCAAAAGGUGGGAAUUACAGAGUCCUUGUGGUCAAACCAUUCUGCUCACUGUUGCCUUCAGCACCUAAAUGUGCUUUAAAAUGCUCUGGGGUAGCCACUGAGAGGGGACUGCAGUGCCAAAGUUGUGGCUGUCCCAUCCCUGGAAGUGUCCAAGGCCAAGCUGGACAGGGCUUGGAGCAACCUGGGAUGAGAUUAUCUUUAUUUUCCCUUCCAACCCAAUCCAUUCUGUGACUCCAUGAAGGUGCUCAGUGCUUCACCAAUGCUUUUUCCCUGACCCCCUCUCCCUUGUGGCUGUCCCAGCUCCCCCCCAGAGGGGGAUGAGGGGGAGGAGGGAGGUUAUUACACAAUGUUUUUGUUCCACUGACAAAUUCCCCUCUGCCAGUUGGAACAGGCUGCUCAUAAAUUUCAGGCUUUCUGGAGGGGUUUCAGGAGUUUUGCAUUCUUAGAUCAUUGUCUGCCUUUUCCCAGGAACAAUGGGGGUGGAAGGGAGCUGCCCCAGAAAUGCCAAGUGCUACGAGGGGAUCUCUCUUGGAUAGGGAAUGCUCCCUCCCCUGCUUCAGCUCCAGCCUGGGUAUCCAAGGAGGCAGCUCAGAGGGAAGCAGGAAUGCUGCUGACAGUGCCCUGUGGAGACCUGCAAAGGUCAGCUCCUUCCUGCCACUCCAGAAAGGAGAUUGGAGGGAUCAUCUUGUGGUUAUAAGGUGGAAAUUGAUAUAUCAUGUUCUGCAGGGAUUCUUUCUCAUUCCAAAUGAGGCAGAGAGGUGGGACAUCUUGCUGCUUAGAAAGUGUGGGGUUUUUUUCUUACCUUCUACAGAAAAGCUGAGUUCUUCUUACAGGUGUUGAGUGUGACACCAGAAGUCACAAGACUUACGGUUACAAGAUCUUUUAAGGACUUAUUAACCAAUAAAACACUGCCAACAAGAAUAUUUAUGUUUCUAAUCCAAUCCUAAGAAAUUUUGUCUAAUUACAGCGUGACCUUUCUCAGCCAAUCCUGUUCCAACACAUAGAUCUAUCCUUAAGGCUAUUCUGUCAUCUUUAUACCUACUUUAUUCUUUCUGUAUCUUAAACUUUAUAUCUAAACCUUUUCCUACUUCACCUAUCAUGUCUCUGCUUUAAACUUUAAAUCUACAUUCUUCCUUCUAGCACCUAAGCUUGGAAACUUUUCCCAAGGCUUCAGUUCGAAUCCUGUGUUCUUUCCCAGGCUUUGAUCUGCAGACCCAACGUUUUGAGGAUUUCUUGCAUUGUGAACUCCAGCAGGGAUGGCCCAUGCUGUGGGUGCUCAGCCUGAGAUGCUGCUCAGCACCUCCUGCACUCCCAGCUGUGAACACCUUGGCAGGCUCAGCACCUCCCUCAGCACCCUGGGGACUGGGGCUGUGGAGAAAAUCUUGUCCUGCAGGUGAAUUAAAACUGAAAGCCUGUUGCAAGUGUGUUGGGUUGAUGUGGCCAGAAAUGUGAAUUCUGUCCCCAUCUGCUGCAGCCGGGUGGGGCAGUGGGGGGGGGG